AGUGAACGCUGGCGGUAGGCCUAACACAUGCAAGUCGAACGGCAGCACAGGAGAGCUUGCUCUCUGGGUGGCGAGUGGCGGACGGGUGAGGAAUACAUCGGAAUCUACCUUUUCGUGGGGGAUAACGUAGGGAAACUUACGCUAAUACCGCAUACGACCUUCGGGUGAAAGCAGGGGACCUUCGGGCCUUGCGCGGAUAGAUGAGCCGAUGUCGGAUUAGCUAGUUGGCGGGGUAAAGGCCCACCAAGGCGACGAUCCGUAGUUGGUCUGAGAGGAUGAUCAGCCACACUGGAACUGAGACACGGUCCAGACUCCUACGGGAGGCAGCAGUGGGGAAUAUUGGACAAUGGGCGCAAGCCUGAUCCAGCCAUACCGCGUGGGUGAAGAAGGCCUUCGGGUUGUAAAGCCCUUUUGUUGGGAAAGAAAAGCAACCAGUUAAUACCUGGUUGUUCUGACGGUACCCAAAGAAUAAGCACCGGCUAACUUCGUGCCAGCCGCCGCAGUAA
This 506-nucleotide ribosomal RNA is filed under the name uncultured bacterium. Its description in RNAcentral is "partial 16S ribosomal RNA". It matches the Rfam family "Bacterial small subunit ribosomal RNA", at positions 29 to 523 of the family's 1533-position model. The record is from RNAcentral.